RNAcentral lists this long non-coding RNA (871 nucleotides) under Rosa chinensis. Its description in RNAcentral is "sRNA RchiOBHm_Chr2g0152621". Lineage: Eukaryota; Viridiplantae; Streptophyta; Magnoliopsida; Rosales; Rosaceae. The record is from RNAcentral.
UGAAGACAUUAGGCCCUUUCAUAAAACCUCUAUGGGAUGUGACGUUUUGAUAUAUCUUGGUGGAUUUCUAGAAGUCUCUACAUCUACAUGAGCUCUGCUAGGUUUUUAGGACACUUUGUGAAAUUCCUUACCUUUCGUUUCUUAAAACCUUGAGCCUUGGCCCCAUUACAACCCUAAAUAAGACCUUCUUGAUCCUUAAGAUGGGACAGCCUUUUAUUUGUGGAGAUGAGUUACAAGAGUUGAACCUAUGGCUUGGGUCCAUCCGUGCAAGUAAUUGAUAUCCUUCAUGAGAUCUUUUCAAAAAAAAUUAUAUUCACAAAGUGCUUUUCGUUUCUUAUAUAUGUGAGCUAUUUGAUUGCCUCAAAAUAUUUUCUCUCACAUAUAAUUGAGUGAUUAUAAGCUUUUAAGCAUUGUCUUGAAUUCUGAGAGAAGAAAGAGUGGAUAUACCUUGUGAGGAUAUGAAUCAUACUUGUUCGAAGCAUGCUUAACAGAAACCAUCACCAUUAUUACAACCAAGUCCUACUUGUGUAUGUGAGAUUUCUGAGACAAAAAGUUGAAGGGCAAUAGAGUCAUUGUUUUUGUAGAGUCUUUAAUUUUCGUUGAGUCUUAGUGUGUGUCUUAGUGUGAUUUUGCUAAGGGACUAGCAAAAGCUAAGUGUGGGGGAAUUUGAUAGGAGCAUUUUAAUGCGACGUUUUAACUGCAUUUCCCUACAUUUCUUACGUUAUUUCCUUAUUAAAAUCCUGUUUAGGAAAGUUUCCAUUCUUUGAUUGGGAAAGUUCCUAUUUGUAGAAAGUUUAUAUUUUUGUAGUUUCUAUUUAUCAUUUUUAGUAAGUUGCCAUUUUUCAUUUUAGGAAAGUUUCUAUUUUUCUUA